Molecule: ribosomal RNA, 200 nt
Filed under: uncultured bacterium
Lineage: Bacteria
Description: partial 16S ribosomal RNA
Rfam family: Bacterial small subunit ribosomal RNA
Source: RNAcentral
ACGCUCGACACCUACGGAAGGCAGCAGUGGGGAAUAUUGGGCAAUGGGCGCAAGCCUGACCCAACAACGCCGCGUGAAGGAAGAAGGCUUUCGGGUUGUAAACUUCUUUUGUCAGGGAACAGUAGAUGAGGGUACCUGACGAAUAAGCUCCGGCUAACUACGUGCCAGCAGCCGCGGUAAUCUGAGCGGGCUGGCAAGGC